RNAcentral lists this small nuclear RNA (200 nucleotides) under Macleaya cordata. RNAcentral's name for it is "U2 spliceosomal RNA". It matches the Rfam family "U2 spliceosomal RNA". Rfam says of the family: U2 is a small nuclear RNA (snRNA) component of the spliceosome (involved in pre-mRNA splicing). Complementary binding between U2 snRNA (in an area lying towards the 5' end but 3' to hairpin I) and the branchpoint sequence (BPS) of the intron results the bulging out of an unpaired adenosine, on the BPS, which initiates a nucleophilic attack at the intronic 5' splice site, thus starting the first of two transesterification reactions that mediate splicing. The record is from Rfam by way of RNAcentral. Lineage: Eukaryota; Viridiplantae; Streptophyta; Magnoliopsida; Ranunculales; Papaveraceae.
AUAUUUUUUUCGGCCUUUUAGCUAAGAUCAAGUGUAAUAUCUGUUCUUAUCAGUUUAAUAUCCUGGUACGUGGGCAAUCAACCCACAUGUUAUUAAAUUAAUUUUUUUCUUGGGGGAGGUCCCACCAACACUAGCUUGCUAUUGGGGACUUCAAGCAUCGCCCAUGCGUUGCACUACUGCACGGGCCUCGUGCAUCUCGC